RNAcentral lists this ribosomal RNA (292 nucleotides) under uncultured bacterium. Its description in RNAcentral is "partial 16S ribosomal RNA". It matches the Rfam family "Bacterial small subunit ribosomal RNA", at positions 505 to 796 of the family's 1533-position model. The record is from RNAcentral.
GUGCCAGCAGCCGCGGUAAUACAGAGGGUGCAAGCGUUGCUCGGAAUCAUUGGGCGUAAAGGGUAGGUAGGUGGUCUCAUUUGUCUGGGGUGAAAGCCUUGGGCUUAACCCAAGAAGUGCCCCAGAAACGGUGAGACUCGAGUGCUGGAGAGGGUCGUGGAAUUCCCGGUGUAGCGGUGAAAUGCGUAGAGAUCGGGAGGAACACCAGAGGCGAAGGCGGCGACCUGGACAGCUACUGACACUCAACUACGAAAGCGUGGGGAGCAAACAGGAUUAGAUACCCCGGUAGUCC